CGAUGUGAUGCUAAUCUCCAAACCAUGUCUCAGUUCGGAUCGGAGCUGCAACUCGACUCCGUGAAGCUGGAUUCGCUAGUAAUCGCGCAUCAGCCAUGGCGCGGUGAAUACGUUCCCGGGCCUUGUACACACCGCCCGUCAAGCCAUGGGAGCCGGGGUACCUGAAGUCCGUAACCGCGAGGAUCGGCCUAGGGUAAAACUGGUGACUGGGGCUAAGUCGUAACAAGGUACC
This 232-nucleotide ribosomal RNA is filed under the name uncultured bacterium. RNAcentral's name for it is "partial 16S ribosomal RNA". It matches the Rfam family "Bacterial small subunit ribosomal RNA", at positions 1258 to 1500 of the family's 1533-position model. The record is from RNAcentral.